GUUGUGUUCAUGCUGAGGAGAAGAGGAAGUACAUGCUGUUUCGGGGAGUGUUCACGAAUUUUAAGAGGACGAUGGUGUGGCGGACGAUAAAUGAUGGGAAUCGGAGUAGGAUUGGUUUGCAGUGUGCUUUCUGUGAGUGUAGGGAGAUGUGGGAUUUGCACUCGGCUUUUUGUUUGAGGAGGGUGUUUGGGUUUCAUGACGAUGGGG
Molecule: unclassified non-coding RNA, 207 nt
Filed under: Hevea brasiliensis (rubber tree)
Lineage: Eukaryota; Viridiplantae; Streptophyta; Magnoliopsida; Malpighiales; Euphorbiaceae
Source: RNAcentral